CUGGCAUGGUAAACCCCACCGGGAGCAAGACCAAGUAGGGACGACAGGCUUUGCCAGGCAUAUUUCCAUGCCGUCGUCCGGGUAGGUUGCAUGAGGCCGCCAGUAAUGGCGGUCCUAGAUGAAUGACCAUCACGCUUAGCGCACAGAACCCGGCUUAUAGGCCACCUGACAUC
Molecule: RNase P RNA, 173 nt
Filed under: Alphaproteobacteria bacterium
Lineage: Bacteria; Pseudomonadati; Pseudomonadota; Alphaproteobacteria
Description: partial RNase P RNA component class A
Rfam family: Bacterial RNase P class A
About the family: Ribonuclease P (RNase P) is a ubiquitous endoribonuclease, found in archaea, bacteria and eukarya as well as chloroplasts and mitochondria. Its best characterised activity is the generation of mature 5'-ends of tRNAs by cleaving the 5'-leader elements of precursor-tRNAs.
Source: RNAcentral